CCUACGGGUGGCAGCAGUGAGGGAUAUUGGACAAUGGGGGAAACCCUGAAGCAGCAACGCCGCGUGGGGGAAGACGGGUUUCGGAUCGUAAACCUCUGUCGUCAGGGAAGAUGAUGACGGUAGCAGAGGAAGAAGCUCCGGUUAACUACGUGCCAGCAGCCGCGGUAAUACGUAGGGAGCAAGCGUUAUCCGGAUUUACUGGGUGUAAAGGGUGCGUAGGCGGCAAUGCAAGUCAGAAGUGAAAGCCCGGGGCUUAACCCCGGGACUGCUGUUGAAACUGUAGGGCUGGAGUGCAGGAGGGGCAGGCGGAAUGCCUGGUGUAGCGGUGAAAUGCGUAGAGAUUGGGAGGAACACCAGUGGCGAAGGCGGCCUGCUGGACUUUAACUGACGUUGAAGCACGAAAGCGUGGGUAGCAAACAGGAUUAGAUACCCUGGUAGUC
Molecule: ribosomal RNA, 440 nt
Filed under: uncultured bacterium
Lineage: Bacteria
Description: partial 16S ribosomal RNA
Rfam family: Bacterial small subunit ribosomal RNA
Source: RNAcentral